GGCGGACGGGUGAGUAACGCGUGAGGAACCUGCCUUUCAGAGGGGGACAACAGUUGGAAACGACUGCUAAUACCGCAUGACACAUUGAGGUCGCAUGGCCUUAAUGUCAAAGAUUUAUCGCUGAAAGAUGGCCUCGCGUCUGAUUAGCUAGUUGGUGAGGUAACGGCCCACCAAGGCGACGAUCAGUAGCCGGACUGAGAGGUUGAACGGCCACAUUGGGACUGAGAUACGGCCCAGACUCCUACGGGAGGCAGCAGUGGGGAAUAUUGGGCAAUGGGCGCAAGCCUGACCCAGCAACGCCGCGUGAAGGAAAAAGGCUUUCGGGUUGUAAACUUCUUUUGUCAGGGACGAGUAGAAGACGGUACCUGACGAAUAAGCCACGGCUAACUACGUGCCAGCAGCCGCGGUAAUACGUAGGUGGCAAGCGUUGUCCGGAUUUACUGGGUGUAAAGGGCGUGUAGCCGGGAGGGCAAGUCAGAUGUGAAAUCCACGGGCUUAACUCGUGAACUGCAUUUGAAACUGUUCUUCUUGAGUAUCGGAGAGGCAACCGGAAUUCCUAGUGUAGCGGUGAAAUGCGUAGAUAUUAGGAGGAACACCAGUGGCGAAGGCGGAUUGCUGGACGACAACUGACGGUGAGGCGCG
RNAcentral lists this ribosomal RNA (642 nucleotides) under uncultured bacterium. RNAcentral's name for it is "bacterial SSU rRNA". It matches the Rfam family "Bacterial small subunit ribosomal RNA", at positions 97 to 755 of the family's 1533-position model. The record is from RNAcentral.